UAGGGAAUCUUCGGCAAUGGACGGAAGUCUGACCGAGCAACGCCGCGUGAGUGAAGAAGGUUUUCGGAUCGUAAAGCUCUGUUGUAAGAGAAGAACGAGUGUGAGAGUGGAAAGUUCACACUGUGACGGUAUCUUACCAGAAAGGGACGGCUAACUACGUGCCAGCAGCCGCGGUAAUACGUAGGUCCCGAGCGUUGUCCGGAUUUAUUGGGCGUAAAGCGAGCGCAGGCGGUUAGAUAAGUCUGAAGUUAAAGGCUGUGGCUUAACCAUAGUAGGCUUUGGAAACUGUUUAACUUGAGUGCAAGAGGGGAGAGUGGAAUUCCAUGUGUAGCGGUGAAAUGCGUAGAUAUAUGGAGGAACACCGGUGGCGAAAGCGGCUCUCUGGCUUGUAACUGACGCUGAGGCUCGAAAGCGUGGGGAGCAAACAGGAUUAGAUACCCUGGUAGUCCACGCUGUAAACGAUGAGUGCUAGGUGUUAGACCCUUUCCGGGGUUUGGUGCCGUAGCUAACGCAUUAAGCACUCCGCCUGGGGAGUACGACCGCAAGGUUG
Molecule: ribosomal RNA, 550 nt
Filed under: uncultured bacterium
Lineage: Bacteria
Description: bacterial SSU rRNA
Rfam family: Bacterial small subunit ribosomal RNA
Source: RNAcentral